CGAUGGUAAAUGAAGUAAUGCCCGC
RNAcentral lists this non-coding RNA (25 nucleotides) under Arabidopsis thaliana (thale cress). Lineage: Eukaryota; Viridiplantae; Streptophyta; Magnoliopsida; Brassicales; Brassicaceae. The record is from RNAcentral.